This 81-nucleotide small nucleolar RNA is filed under the name Suricata suricatta (meerkat). Its description in RNAcentral is "Small nucleolar RNA SNORD115 (ENSSSUG00005014830.1)". It matches the Rfam family "Small nucleolar RNA SNORD115". From Rfam's summary of the family: HBII-52 is a member of the C/D class of snoRNAs, which contain the C (UGAUGA) and D (CUGA) box motifs. The record is from Rfam by way of RNAcentral. Lineage: Eukaryota; Metazoa; Chordata; Mammalia; Carnivora; Herpestidae.
AGAUCAAUGAUGAGAACUCAUAUGGUCUCAAAAAGAGAUCAUGACCUAAAAAUCAUGCUCAAUAGGAUUAUGCUGAGGCCA